CCAGUCGGCUGGACGGCCGCUGCCGAAACGCAGAGGAAAGUCCGGGCUCCACGGAGACACGGCGCCGGAUAAGGUCCGGCGGGGGCGACCCCAGGGAUAGCGCCACAGAAAGCAAACCGCCGCGCAAGCGGUAAGGGUGAAAGGGUGCGGUAAGAGCGCACCGCCCGGACGGCGACGUUCGGGGCACGGCAAGCCCCGCCGGGAGCAAGACCGAAUAGGGGCGACGGAAGG
RNAcentral lists this RNase P RNA (231 nucleotides) under Methylocystis sp. RNAcentral's name for it is "partial RNase P RNA component class A". It matches the Rfam family "Bacterial RNase P class A", at positions 1 to 248 of the family's 367-position model. From Rfam's summary of the family: Ribonuclease P (RNase P) is a ubiquitous endoribonuclease, found in archaea, bacteria and eukarya as well as chloroplasts and mitochondria. Its best characterised activity is the generation of mature 5'-ends of tRNAs by cleaving the 5'-leader elements of precursor-tRNAs. Cellular RNase Ps are ribonucleoproteins. The record is from RNAcentral. Lineage: Bacteria; Pseudomonadati; Pseudomonadota; Alphaproteobacteria; Hyphomicrobiales; Methylocystaceae.